This 220-nucleotide unclassified non-coding RNA is filed under the name uncultured fungus. Its description in RNAcentral is "sequence contains ITS1, 5.8S rRNA gene". The stretch from base 172 to 220 matches the Rfam family "5.8S ribosomal RNA", at positions 1 to 49 of the family's 154-position model. The record is from RNAcentral. Lineage: Eukaryota; Fungi.
UUUCCGUAGGUGAACCUGCGGAAGGAUCAUUACUGUGGGGGAUUGUCCCCAUUAGAUAGAUACCCUUUGUUUAUGAGUACCACUUGUUUCCUCGGCGGGCUUGCCUGCCGGUUGGACAUUAUCAAACCUUUUUGUAGUUGCAAUCAGCGUCAGAAACAAAACAAUAAUUACAACUUUCAACAACGGAUCUCUUGGUUCUGGCAUCGAUGAAGAACGCAGC